AGAGACAGCAGCGCCGCGGUAAUACAGAGGGUGCAAGCGUUAAUCGGAAUUACUGGGCGUAAAGCGCGCGUAGGUGGUUUGUUAAGUUGGAUGUGAAAUCCCCGGGCUCAACCUGGGAACUGCAUUCAAAACUGACUGACUAGAGUAUGGUAGAGGGUGGUGGAAUUUCCUGUGUAGCGGUGAAAUGCGUAGAUAUAGGAAGGAACACCAGUGGCGAAGGCGACCACCUGGACUAAUACUGACACUGAGGUGCGAAAGCGUGGGGAGCAAACAGGAUUAGAUACCCGUGUAGUCCCUGUCUCUUAUACA
This 309-nucleotide ribosomal RNA is filed under the name uncultured bacterium. RNAcentral describes it as "partial 16S ribosomal RNA". It matches the Rfam family "Bacterial small subunit ribosomal RNA", at positions 504 to 808 of the family's 1533-position model. The record is from RNAcentral.